This 373-nucleotide ribosomal RNA is filed under the name uncultured organism. RNAcentral describes it as "partial 16S ribosomal RNA". It matches the Rfam family "Bacterial small subunit ribosomal RNA", at positions 527 to 896 of the family's 1533-position model. The record is from RNAcentral.
GUAGGUGGCAAGCGUUGUCCGGAAUUAUUGGGCGUAAAGCGCGCGCAGGCGGUUCUUUAAGUCUGAUGUGAAAGCCCACGGCUCAACCGUGGAGGGUCAUUGGAAACUGGAGAACUUGAGUACAGAAGAGGAAAGCGGAAUUCCACGUGUAGCGGUGAAAUGCGUAGAGAUGUGGAGGAACACCAGUGGCGAAGGCGGCUUUCUGGUCUGUAACUGACGCUGAGGCGCGAAAGCGUGGGGAGCAAACAGGGAUUAGAUACCCUGGUAGUCCACGCCGUAAACGAUGAGAGCUAAGUGUUAGGGGGUUUCCGCCCCCUUAGUGCUGCAGCUAACGCAUUAAGCACUCCGCCUGGGGAGUACGGCCGCAAGGCUG